CCUACGGGAGGCAGCAGUGGGGAAUAUUGGGCAAUGGGCGCAAGCCUGACCCAGCAACGCCGCGUGAAGGAAGAAGGCUUUCGGGUUGUAAACUUCUUUUGACAGGGAAGAGUAGAAGACGGUACCUGUCGAAUAAGCCACGGCUAACUACGUGCCAGCAGCCGCGGCAAUACGUAGGUGGCAAGCGUUGUCCGGAUUUACUGGGUGGAAAGGGCGUGUAGCCGGGUUGACAAGUCAGAUGUGAAAUCCUGCGGCUUAACCGCAGAACUGCAUUUGAAACUGUUGAUCUUGAGUACUGGAGAGGCAGACGGAAUUCCUAGUGUAGUGGUGAAAUGCGUAGAUAUUAGGAGGAACACCAGUGGCGAAGGCGGUCUGCUGGACAGCAACUGACGGUGAGGCGCGAAAGCGUGGGGAGCAAACAGGAUUAGAUACCCGAGUAGUC
RNAcentral lists this ribosomal RNA (442 nucleotides) under uncultured bacterium. RNAcentral describes it as "partial 16S ribosomal RNA". It matches the Rfam family "Bacterial small subunit ribosomal RNA", at positions 338 to 795 of the family's 1533-position model. The record is from RNAcentral.